RNAcentral lists this ribosomal RNA (478 nucleotides) under uncultured bacterium. RNAcentral describes it as "partial 16S ribosomal RNA". It matches the Rfam family "Bacterial small subunit ribosomal RNA", at positions 28 to 523 of the family's 1533-position model. The record is from RNAcentral.
GACGAACGCUGGCGGCAUGCCUAACACAUGCAAGUCGAGCGAGCUGAUUCCUUCGGGAUGAAGCUAGCGGCGGACGGGUGAGUAACACGUGGGCAGCCUGCCUCAUAGAGGGGAAUAGCCUUCCGAAAGGAAGAUUAAUACCGCAUAAGAUUGCAUCUUCGCAUGAAGAAGCAAUUAAAGGAGCAAUCCGCUAUGAGAUGGGCCCGCGGCGCAUUAGCUAGUUGGUGAGGUAACGGCUCACCAAGGCGACGAUGCGUAGCCGACCUGAGAGGGUGAUCGGCCACAUUGGGACUGAGACACGGCCCAGACUCCUACGGGAGGCAGCAGUGGGGAAUAUUGCACAAUGGGGGAAACCCUGAUGCAGCAAUGCCGCGUGAGUGAUGACGGCCUUCGGGUUGUAAAGCUCUGUCUUCGGGGACGAUAAUGACGGUACCCGAGGAGGAAGCCACGGCUAACUACGUGCCAGCCGCCGCGGUAA